UAAAAACUAUCUAUGAUAAAUAAUAUGUACUAUAUGUACUAUGAAUAAUAUUGAAGUUCAGUAAAUGAUGUAUACAUCAUUGUGAUGAUGAUACAUCAUUUAUACCCCUUAAAUAAUAAAAAUAUUAAAUGCAUUUCAAAACUUUUAUAACUAUUAUUAUUAUUAGAAAUACUAUGCUAUAAAUGUUACAAUGUGCAAACAAUGUUUACUUUCACUUUAUUAUAUUAUAAAGUAUCUAAGUAAUCACUUUAUCAUGUCUGUAUAUUUUCUUUUACAAUGUGUACCACCUAUCUAUUAUUAGCCUAACUAAAUUAUAAUUUUCAGGCGUAGUCAUUAUAAUCGUCGACCUAAAUAUCAUACCAAACAACAAUCAAUUUUAUUGUUUUUAUCGUCUUUUGUAUACGAAU
Molecule: non-coding RNA, 407 nt
Organism: Cinara cedri
Lineage: Eukaryota; Metazoa; Arthropoda; Insecta; Hemiptera; Aphididae
Source: the annotation of a GenBank genome assembly